This 522-nucleotide ribosomal RNA is filed under the name uncultured beta proteobacterium. RNAcentral's name for it is "bacterial SSU rRNA". It matches the Rfam family "Bacterial small subunit ribosomal RNA", at positions 67 to 584 of the family's 1533-position model. Lineage: Bacteria; Pseudomonadati; Pseudomonadota; Betaproteobacteria. The record is from RNAcentral.
CGGCAGCACGGGUAGCAAUACCUGGUGGCGAGUGGCGAACGGGUGAGUAAUAUAUCGGAACGUGCCUUAUAGUGGGGGAUAACGCAGCGAAAGUUGCGAUAAUACCGCAUACGCCCUGAGGGGGAAAGUGGGGGACCGAAAGGCCUCACGCUAUUAGAGCGGCCGAUAUCUGAUUAGCUAGUUGGUGAGGUAAAGGCUCACCAAGGCAACGAUCAGUAGCUGGUCUGAGAGGACGAUCAGCCACACUGGGACUGAGACACGGCCCAGACUCCUACGGGAGGCAGCAGUGGGGAAUUUUGGACAAUGGGGGCAACCCUGAUCCAGCAAUGCCGCGUGAGUGAAGAAGGCCUUCGGGUUGUAAAGCUCUUUUGUCAGGGAAGAAACAGCAGCUCUAACACAGUUGUGAAUGACGGUACCUGAAGAAUAAGCACCGGCUAACUACGUGCCAGCAGCCGCGGUAAUACGUAGGGUGCAAGCGUUAAUCGGAAUUACUGGGCGUAAAGCGUGCGCAGGCGGUUAUAC